Molecule: ribosomal RNA, 453 nt
Filed under: uncultured Porphyromonadaceae bacterium
Lineage: Bacteria; Pseudomonadati; Bacteroidota; Bacteroidia; Bacteroidales; Porphyromonadaceae
Description: partial 16S ribosomal RNA
Rfam family: Bacterial small subunit ribosomal RNA
Source: RNAcentral
ACGGAAGGCAGCAGUGAGGAAUAUUGGUCAAUGGACGGAAGCCUGAACCAGCCAAGUCGCGUGAAGGAUGAAGGUAUUAUGUAUUGUAAACUUCUUUAGCAGCAGAGUAAUAAGGGGGUCGUGACCCCCGAUGCAAGUAUGCUGAAAAUAAGGAUCGGCUAACUCCGUGCCAGCAGCCGCGGUAAUACGGAGGAUCCGAGCGUUAUCCGGAUUUAUUGGGUUUAAAGGGUGCGCAGGCGGUUUUUUAAGUCAGUGGUUAAAUCGUGAGGCUCAACCUCAUCACGCCAUUGAUACUGGAAGACUUGAUUGCGGUUGAGGUUGGCGGAAUUCGUCGUGUAGCGGUGAAAUGCAUAGAUAUGACGAAGAACACCGAUUGCGUAGGCAGCUGACCAAGCCGUAAAUGACGCUCAUGCACGAAAGUGCGGGGAUCGAACAGGAUUAGAUACCCUGGUA